UACGUAGGGGGCAAGCGUUGUCCGGAUUCAUUGGGCGUAAAGAGCGUGUAGGCGGUCGUGCGCGUCGGAGGUGAAAUCCCCGGGCUUAACCCGGGAGCUGCCUCCGAUACGGCAUGGCUUGAGUCCGGGAGAGGGGAGCAGAAUUCCCAGUGUAGCGGUGAAAUGCGUAGAUAUUGGGAGGAACACCAGUGGCGAAGGCGACUUCCUGGCCUGUUCUUGACGCUGAGGCGCGAAAGCUAGGGGAGCAAACGGG
Molecule: ribosomal RNA, 253 nt
Filed under: uncultured bacterium
Lineage: Bacteria
Description: partial 16S ribosomal RNA
Rfam family: Bacterial small subunit ribosomal RNA
Source: RNAcentral